Numida meleagris (helmeted guineafowl) is the source of this 650-nucleotide long non-coding RNA. RefSeq lists it as uncharacterized. Lineage: Eukaryota; Metazoa; Chordata; Aves; Galliformes; Numididae. The transcript has 3 exons. The record is from RefSeq and is a predicted model, not a curated record.
AGUGAACUGGCACCUUAGUAUUGGCCAGGAAGCUUGCCUGAGUGAGGGAGUACUUACACCUGUAAAAUCACACAGUGCACAACUGAGUGUUGGAGGCAAGCAGCACCUGGUGCCUCUUUACUCAUAGAACAGAAUAACCCGAGAAAUAGUCCUGUAAGGCUUGUGUUUGGCUUGUGCAGUGUUAAUUACAGCAUGGUCGCCCUUUCUGCUGAAACACAACCACAUGAAUGAAUGAUGCAGGACUGAGCACGGAAAAACUGAGACAGCAGAGCUGCUGACAUUAAUGGUCUCAUCCCUGUGUGAUGUGAGCUACUGGACACUCAAGACCUCGAUCCUGAGAUCUCUGGGAUGGAAAUGGCAUUAUUUUCUGUGCCUACAGUACCAACCACAGCGUGACAGACCCAGCUAAAGGCCAAAGGCAUUAUGACACACUAUUAAAGAUCGUCACAGUCUACAAGAAUUCCAUUGUGCAUCUUCACUGAAUUUGUUCCAUGAUAGCAAAUAAAGAACGGUUGUUUCUCUGAGCUGAAUGUAGUCUGCCAGACAACUGUAAAUCAGUGUUCCAUCCUUUACAUGUGAGAAAUCUUUCAACAUUACUAUUUCAUUAAUUGGUUUCAGUGAUGAUACUUUUUCUCCCAUUGUGUUUUUAA